GGAGAAACAGACUCCCCGCCGAGCAGGGAGCCCGAUGCGGGACUCGAUCCCGGGACUCCAGGAUCAUGACCUGAGCUGAAGGCAGUCACUUAACCAACUGAGCCACCCAGGCGCCCCCUUAUUCUCUUUAUUAUCUUUACCCUUCAACCUUCCUUUCUUCCUGAGUCCCCUCUCUCCUAUAGUUGUCAACAGAUAAUGUCUUAUAAACUCUCAAGUUGCUGGAAGUUAAAAUCCUAAAUAACAAGAUGGCAACUCCACUAUGCCAGAAGGUGACAGAUAUCAUCGUUGACUACCUGAGGACAAUGGUGCAGCUUCCUACAUUGGCGUUACAUGGGAAUAUAUCCUGCACCUUCUGAGGAUGGCCCAAACGAAGGAUGCCAUGUUGGCAAUAUGUCAUGUGCUCAAAGGAUUGGUCAUCAGUGCCCGGAAACAUCUGGAUCUGGGCAUUACAGAUGAUGAAAUAAUGGACAUUACACAAGAGGCAGUGUCCUUCAAGGCUUAUCUCACCCUCAGGCUUCUCUUCAAUUGUUGGUCCCUGAAGAGCAACAGCAAGGUGAGAGUUGGAGAUAGUGGGGUUGGAUGGAUGGCUGAAGGAGUAAAUCUUGAGCCAAAGAUGGGGCAGGGCCGUGUCUGUCUACUUACUGGUGGAAGGAUAACUUAAAUGGCUCUUCCAAAAGAGCAGGGUGACUUUCCUUAGGCUCCUCUUCCCAUUCUCCAGAAAAGGGUACUAUCAGAAAAUGCCACUGUCCAGCCACAUAUUUGUUAAAUAUGCAAUUAAGCAACUUAAAUUUACUGAUUACUAGCAUUAGCCAG
This 813-nucleotide long non-coding RNA is filed under the name Zalophus californianus (California sea lion). RNAcentral describes it as "lncRNA (ENSZCAG00015009938.1)". Lineage: Eukaryota; Metazoa; Chordata; Mammalia; Carnivora; Otariidae. The record is from RNAcentral.